Molecule: ribosomal RNA, 1405 nt
Filed under: uncultured bacterium
Lineage: Bacteria
Description: bacterial SSU rRNA
Rfam family: Bacterial small subunit ribosomal RNA
Source: RNAcentral
GAGUUUGAUCAUGGCUCAGGACGAACGCUGGCGGCGUGCCUAAUACAUGCAAGUAGAACGCUGAAGAGAGGAGCUUGCUCUUCUUGGAUGAGUUGCGAACGGGUGAGUAACGCGUAGGUAACCUGCCUUGUAGCGGGGGAUAACUAUUGGAAACGAUAGCUAAUACCGCAUAACAAUGGAUGACACAUGUCAUUUAUUUGAAAGGGGCAAUUGCUCCACUACAAGAUGGACCUGCGUUGUAUUAGCUAGUAGGUGAGGUAACGGCUCACCUAGGCGACGAUACAUAGCCGACCUGAGAGGGUGAUCGGCCACACUGGGACUGAGACACGGCCCAGACUCCUACGGGAGGCAGCAGUAGGGAAUCUUCGGCAAUGGGGGCAACCCUGACCGAGCAACGCCGCGUGAGUGAAGAAGGUUUUCGGAUCGUAAAGCUCUGUUGUAAGUCAAGAACGAGUGUGAGAGUGGAAAGUUCACACUGUGACGGUAGCUUACCAGAAAGGGACGGCUAACUACGUGCCAGCAGCCGCGGUAAUACGUAGGUCCCGAGCGUUGUCCGGAUUUAUUGGGCGUAAAGCGAGCGCAGGCGGUUUGAUAAGUCUGAAGUUAAAGGCUGUGGCUCAACCAUAGUUCGCUUUGGAAACUGUCAAACUUGAGUGCAGAAGGGGAGAGUGGAAUUCCAUGUGUAGCGGUGAAAUGCGUAGAUAUAUGGAGGAACACCGGUGGCGAAAGCGGCUCUCUGGUCUGUAACUGACGCUGAGGCUCGAAAGCGUGGGGAGCGAACAGGAUUAGAUACCCUGGUAGUCCACGCCGUAAACGAUGAGUGCUAGGUGUUGGAUCCUUUCCGGGAUUCAGUGCCGCAGCUAACGCAUUAAGCACUCCGCCUGGGGAGUACGACCGCAAGGUUGAAACUCAAAGGAAUUGACGGGGGCCCGCACAAGCGGUGGAGCAUGUGGUUUAAUUCGAAGCAACGCGAAGAACCUUACCAGGUCUUGACAUCCCGAUGCUAUUUCUAGAGAUAGAAAGUUACUUCGGUACAUCGGUGACAGGUGGUGCAUGGUUGUCGUCAGCUCGUGUCGUGAGAUGUUGGGUUAAGUCCCGCAACGAGCGCAACCCCUAUUGUUAGUUGCCAUCAUUCAGUUGGGCACUCUAGCGAGACUGCCGGUAAUAAACCGGAGGAAGGUGGGGAUGACGUCAAAUCAUCAUGCCCCUUAUGACCUGGGCUACACACGUGCUACAAUGGUUGGUACAACGAGUUGCGAGUCGGUGACGGCAAGCUAAUCUCUUAAAGCCAAUCUCAGUUCGGAUUGUAGGCUGCAACUCGCCUACAUGAAGUCGGAAUCGCUAGUAAUCGCGGAUCAGCACGCCGCGGUGAAUACGUUCCCGGGCCUUGCACACACCGCCCGUC